Molecule: ribosomal RNA, 499 nt
Filed under: Praeteropus monachus
Lineage: Eukaryota; Metazoa; Chordata; Lepidosauria; Squamata; Scincidae
Description: partial large subunit ribosomal RNA
Rfam family: Bacterial large subunit ribosomal RNA
Source: RNAcentral
AAGGGUAUUGCCUGCCCAGUGAAAUAUUUUUAAACGGCCGCGGUAUUCUAACCGUGCAAAGGUAGCGUAAUCACUUGUCUUCCAAAUAAAGACCAGUAUGAACGGCUAAAUGAGGACAAACCUGUCUCCUACACCCCAUCAGUGAAACUGAUCUUCCAGUCCAAAAGCUGGAAUAUUACCAUAAGACGAGAAGACCCUGUGGAGCUUAAAAUCUACCACUACAAACCCCACACAGCUAGUACAAGAUUUUAAGUUGGGGCGACUUCGGAACAAAACAAAACUUCCGAGCACAGAACCACCAUUUCUUACCGAGGCGCACAGGCCAAAGAAAAUGUUGACCCAGUCAUACUGACCAACGAACCAAGUUACCCCAGGGAUAACAGCGCUAUCUUCUUCAAGAGUCCCUAUCGACAAGAAGGUUUACGACCUCGAUGUUGGAUCAGGGCAUCCCAAUGGUGCAACCGCUAUUAAAGGUUCGUUUGUUCAACGAUUAACAGCC